UGUUUUGUCCUAGAUCAGAUUUUACAAAUUUGAUACAGUACGGCAUCAAAAUUGAAAAUAUAUUUGAUAUGCAGGCUUGCGUUCAGUGUGUAACUGCUGUGGAAAACGACGAGACUGGCAACCUUGUGAUGAAUGGAAGUAAGCCUGCAUUAAAUGAAAUAUGUAAAAUGUAUAACUUACCAUUACAGUUUCACGACAAUAUUCCUGUGUCUGUAUCUAGUAUUUUAUACUUAAUGGAUAUUAACACAUAUUUAACAGGACGAAAUGG
Molecule: long non-coding RNA, 268 nt
Organism: Mytilus californianus (California mussel)
Lineage: Eukaryota; Metazoa; Mollusca; Bivalvia; Mytilida; Mytilidae
Exons: 2
Source: RefSeq, a predicted model, not a curated record